This 405-nucleotide ribosomal RNA is filed under the name uncultured bacterium. RNAcentral describes it as "bacterial SSU rRNA". It matches the Rfam family "Bacterial small subunit ribosomal RNA", at positions 28 to 425 of the family's 1533-position model. The record is from RNAcentral.
GACGAACGCUGGCGGCGUGCCUAACACAUGCAAGUCGAACGGGACCAGUCUUGGUGGCAACACUUUGGUUGGUUUAGUGGCGAACGGGUGAGUAACACGUGAGGAACCUGCCCCGGAGACCGGGAUAACAGGAGGAAACUUCUGCUAAUACUGGAUGUCCCCAUUGUGCCGCAUGGUGUGGUGGGGAAAUGGGUUUCCGCUUCGGGAGGGUCUCGCGGCCUAUCAGCUUGUUGGUGGGGUAAUGGCCUACCAAGGCGUCGACGGGUAGCUGGUCUGAGAGGACGAUCAGCCACACUGGGACUGAGACACGGCCCAGACUCCUACGGGAGGCAGCAGUGGGGAAUCUUGCGCAAUGGGCGGAAGCCUGACGCAGCAACGCCGCGUGCGGGAUGAAGGCCUCGGUUG